Molecule: ribosomal RNA, 365 nt
Filed under: uncultured bacterium
Lineage: Bacteria
Description: bacterial SSU rRNA
Rfam family: Bacterial small subunit ribosomal RNA
Source: RNAcentral
GUAGGUGGCAAGCGUUGUCCGGAUUUAUUGGGCGUAAAGCGCGUGUAGGCGGUUUUUCAAGUCAGUUGUCAAAGACCUUGGCUUAACCAAGGGAAGGCUAUUGAUACUGAAAGACUGGUGUUGGAUCGGAGAUGCUGGAAUUCCCGGUGGAGGAGUGAAAUCCGUUGAGAUUGGGAAGAACACCAAGAGCGAAGGCAGGCAUCUAGGUCCUUCAGACGCUGAUGAACGAAAGCUAAGGGAGCAAAAGGGAUUAGAGACCCCUGUAGUCUUAGCUGUAAACUAUGCCUACUAGCUUCUCGAUUUUUAUCGGGGGGCGUAAGCUAACGCGUUAAGUAGGCCGCCUGGGAACUACGGCCGCAAGGCUA